GUCUCCUUAGUAUAAACUAGUACAGUUGACUUCCAAUCAGCCAGUUCUGGACACCACCCAGAAGGAAACA
This 70-nucleotide transfer RNA is filed under the name Arctocephalus pusillus. RNAcentral describes it as "transfer RNA-Gly". Lineage: Eukaryota; Metazoa; Chordata; Mammalia; Carnivora; Otariidae. The record is from RNAcentral.